This 836-nucleotide ribosomal RNA is filed under the name Staphylococcus aureus. Its description in RNAcentral is "partial 23S ribosomal RNA". It matches the Rfam family "Bacterial large subunit ribosomal RNA", at positions 87 to 920 of the family's 2925-position model. The record is from RNAcentral. Lineage: Bacteria; Bacillati; Bacillota; Bacilli; Caryophanales; Staphylococcaceae.
UGUAAGUAAGCUUUGAUCCAGAGAUUUCCGAAUGGGGAAACCCAGCACGAGUUAUGUCGUGUUAUCGAUAUGUGAAUACAUAGCAUAUCUGAAGGCAGACGCGGAGAACUGAAACAUCUUAGUACCCGCAGGAAGAGAAAGAAAAAUCGAUUCCCUGAGUAGCGGCGAGCGAAACGGGAAGAGCCCAAACCAACGAGCUUGCUUGUUGGGGUUGUAGGACACUCUAUACGGAGUUACAAAAGAACAGACUAGACGAAUCAUCUGGAAAGAUGAAUCAAAGAAGGUAAUAAUCCUGUAGUCGAAAGUUUGUUCACUCUUGAGUGGAUCCUGAGUACGACGGAACACGAGAAAUUCCGUCGGAAUCUGGGAGGACCAUCUCCCAAGGCUAAAUACUCUCUAGUGACCGAUAGUGAACCAGUACCGUGAGGGAAAGGUGAAAAGUACCCCGGAAGGGGAGUGAAAUAGAACUUGAAACCGUGUGCUUACAAGUAGUCAGAGCCCGUUAAUGGGUGAUGGCGUGCCUUUUGUAGAAUGAACCGGCGAGUUACGAUUUGAUGCAAGGUUAAGCAGUGAAUGUGGAGCCGUAGCGAAAGCGAGUCUGAAUAGGGCGUUGAGUAUUUGGUCGUAGACCCGAAACCAGGUGAUCUACCCAUGACCAGGUUGAAGUUCAGGUAACACUGAAUGGAGGACCGAACCGACUUACGUUGAAAAGUGAGCGGAUGAGUUGUGGGUAGCGGAGAAAUUCCAAUCGAACCUGGAGAUAGCUGGUUCUCUCCGAAAUAGCUUUAGGGCUAGCCUCAAGUGAUGAUUAUUGGAGGUAGAGCACUGUUUGGACG